UAUUGCACAAUGGGGGGAACCCUGAUGCAGCGACGCCGCGUGAGGGAAGACGGUUUUCGGAUUGUAAACCUCUGUCUUUAGGGACGAAACAAAUGACGGUACCUAAAGAAGAAGCCCCGGCUAACCACGUGCCAGCAGCCGCGGUAAUACGUAGGGGGCAAGCGUUAUCCGGAAUUACUGGGUGUAAAGGGAGCGUAGACGGUGAUGUAAGUCUGGAGUGAAAGGCGGGGGCCCAACCCCCGGACUGCUCUGGAAACUAUGUGACUGGAGUGCAGGAGAGGUGAGCGGAAUUCCUAGUGUAGCGGUGAAAUGCGUAGAUAUUAGGAGGAACACCAGUGGCGAAGGCGGCUCACUGGACUGUAACUGACGUUGAGGCUCGAAAGCGUGGGGAGCAAACAGG
Molecule: ribosomal RNA, 400 nt
Filed under: uncultured bacterium
Lineage: Bacteria
Description: bacterial SSU rRNA
Rfam family: Bacterial small subunit ribosomal RNA
Source: RNAcentral